GGCCUUCUAUGGGGGCAGUAAUGAUGGGGCUUCCACUGCCCGGGUUCCUCCCUGCAAGGCUACAGCAGAGGGAUGUAAACGGGGAGCUCUGGGGGGCCAAGAAGCACAGACGGCCAGAGAGACACAGAGGGUGCAAAAAAGCUGAACACAACACAUACGUCCCAUAUAUUUGAAAUUCACAAAAUGCAAGACAAAAUUCAACUUUGGAGAUGCAUAUUUGGUGAUUGGCAAUGCAAAGCAACAGGGAAGUGAUUACCUUAAAUGUCAGGGAAGUGAUUACCUACCUUUCAUGAGGAAAGAGGGGCUAGUGGCAAGGAAGGGGAAUGGACAUGAUUUCUGGGAUGCUAGCCGUAUUGUGUUUCUUUUUUAAUGUAAGUGAUGGCAUACCAAUAUUUGCUUUUGAUAAUUCACUCAAUUGUAUAUUUUUGCUUUGUAAACUAUUUCUGUUAUGUGUGUGCCAUAUUUCACAAUAAAAAGACUAAAAAAAAGAAAAUGCACGUCAAACCUUUAGCACUGUAUAAGUUCUCAUUAAAUGAGAUACUUAUUUGCUUCAAGAAUACUAACCUGGAGACGUUUAAUUAGAACUGCAAAACUAAAUGAAGUGUUUCAAAAUGACAACUCUUCUUCUAGUUGUAAAAGUAAAGAGUGAGACAUAAGGUGCCUGGCCCAAGAAUGCAUCUGGAGACACAGCCAUGGAGCCACCUUUCCUGGAGAUGUUAAU
This 721-nucleotide long non-coding RNA is filed under the name Homo sapiens (human). RNAcentral's name for it is "non-protein coding lnc-FAM240B-5:1". The record is from RNAcentral. Lineage: Eukaryota; Metazoa; Chordata; Mammalia; Primates; Hominidae.